AAGUCGUAACAAGGUUUCCGUAGGUGAACCUGCGGAAGGAUCAUUACAGAGAACUUGCCCUUCGGGGUAGAUCUCCCACCCUUUGUCUACCAUACUUUGUUGCUUUGGCAGGCCCGCUCUCGGGCCGCCGGCUUCGGCUGGCCAGCGUCUGCCAGAGGACCACAAACUCUUGUAUUUUAGUGUCGUCUGAGUACUUUAUAAUAAGUUAAAACUUUCAACAACGGAUCUCUUGGUUCUGGCAUCGAUGAAGAACGCAGCGAAAUGCGAUAAGUAAUGUGAAUUGCAGAAUUCAGUGAAUCAUCGAAUCCUUGAACGCACAUUGCGCCUAGCGGUAUUCCGCUAGGCAUGCCUGUUUGAGCGUCAUUUCAACCCUCAAGCCUAGCUUGGUAUUGGGUGUCACCGGCACGGUGCGCCUUAAAAUCAGUGGCGGUGCCAUUUGGCUUCAAGCGUAGUAAUACUUCUCGCUCUGGAUCCCGGGUGGUUACUUGCCAACAACCCCAUAUUUUUUAAGGUUGACCUCGGAUCAGGUAGGGAUACCCGCUGAACUUAA
RNAcentral lists this ribosomal RNA (550 nucleotides) under uncultured fungus. Its description in RNAcentral is "eukaryotic LSU rRNA". The stretch from base 210 to 363 matches the Rfam family "5.8S ribosomal RNA". Lineage: Eukaryota; Fungi. The record is from RNAcentral.